CCACUGUUUUUAGAUCCUGAGCAUGAUGUGCUGAGGUAUUGAAUAUGUCUUUGGCUAGUUUGGGUCAGAUGUCCUGUCUCUGCUCCCUCCCAGCUUCUUCUGCACC
This is a long non-coding RNA of Strigops habroptila (Kakapo), 106 nucleotides long. RefSeq lists it as uncharacterized. The transcript is spliced from 3 exons. The record is from RefSeq and is a predicted model, not a curated record. Lineage: Eukaryota; Metazoa; Chordata; Aves; Psittaciformes; Psittacidae.